UACGGAGGAUCCAAGCGUUAUCCGGAUUUAUUGGGUUUAAAGGGUGCGUAGGCGGCUUAUUAAGUCAGGGGUGAAAGACGGUGGCUCAACCAUCGCAGUGCCCUUGAUACUGAUGAGCUUGAAUACACUUGAGGUAGGCGGAAUGUGACAAGUAGCGGUGAAAUGCAUAGAUAUGUCACAGAACACCAAUUGCGAAGGCAGCUUACUAAGGUGCAAUUGACGCCGAGGCACGAAAGCGUGGGGAUCAAACAGG
This 253-nucleotide ribosomal RNA is filed under the name uncultured bacterium. Its description in RNAcentral is "partial 16S ribosomal RNA". It matches the Rfam family "Bacterial small subunit ribosomal RNA", at positions 524 to 776 of the family's 1533-position model. The record is from RNAcentral.